This 460-nucleotide ribosomal RNA is filed under the name uncultured bacterium. RNAcentral describes it as "partial 16S ribosomal RNA". It matches the Rfam family "Bacterial small subunit ribosomal RNA", at positions 338 to 795 of the family's 1533-position model. The record is from RNAcentral.
CCUACGGGAGGCAGCAGUGAGGAAUAUUGGUCAAUGGACGAGAGUCUGAACCAGCCAAGUAGCGUGAAGGAUGACUGCCCUCUGGGUUGUAAACUUCUUUUAUAUGGGAAUAAAAUGUUCCACGUGUGGGAUUUUGUAUGUACCAUAUGAAUAAGGAUCGGCUAAAUCCGUGACAGCAGCCGGUGUAAUACGGAGGAUCCGAGCGUUAUCCGGAUUUAUGGGGUUUAACGGGAGCGUAGGUGGAUAGUUAAGUCAGUUGUGAAAGUGUGCGGCUCAACCGUAAAAUUGCAGUUGAAACUGGCAGUCUUGAGUACAGUAGGGGUGGGAGGAAUUCGUGGUGUAGCGGUGAAAUGCUUAGAUAUCACGAAGAACUCCGAUUGCGAAGGCAGCUCGCUGGACUGCAACUGACGCUGAGGCUCGAAGGUGUGGGUAUCAAACAGGAUUAGAUACCCGGGUAGUC